This is a long non-coding RNA of Mastomys coucha (southern multimammate mouse), 845 nucleotides long. RefSeq lists it as uncharacterized. Lineage: Eukaryota; Metazoa; Chordata; Mammalia; Rodentia; Muridae. The transcript has 3 exons. The record is from RefSeq and is a predicted model, not a curated record.
CCUCGCGCGCCACGCGGGCCACGCGGGCCGGCCGCAGCGCGUCCCCGCCGGGAGCCAGCACCGAGUCGCCAGCGCGUAAGCGGCGCGCGAACACCGGUGCGAAGUCACCUGGAGCGGGCGCUGGCCCGCGGGCGGCGAACACCAGAUGCCAGGGUGUGAGCAACAGUUUGCGCGGAGGCCGCUCGGUCUCCACAGCCACGAACGAGGCGCGGCGCUGCAGGUCCCGGUCCAGGAAGAGCAGGACUGGCGUGGGUACCACUCGGCCCGCUGCAUCAGCGGCCAGUACCCAGUCACCACGGUGGAGUUCCCUCAGCCCUUUCCGUUCGCCGCUCCGCAAGCGCACCGUGGCAUUUCCCGGAAAGCAGCCUCCGGCUCGGACCGCCAGUGAGUUAUCUGCAAUCAGAAAAAGGAUUAAGUCCAGAUCGGCCAGUGCAAGUUUCAGCUAGAGGCAAGGACCGCAAUGCCCCACGACCAAGGAGAGGAAGGGAUGGCCCUUCCCAAUUUACUGGAAAGUGGGUGGCUUCAUCACUGGAGCAAGAAGGAAUUCUGGACUUGGAGUGACUGGUUCUCACCUUUAAUCGCAGCAAUCAGGAGAUGCCUAGAUUUGUUUCAAGUCACCAAAAAGCAACUAUGAUGAUAACAAACCCUGCUUGCUAUUGUGAAGGUGAAGAGAUGGAUCAGUUGCUUUCCCAAAGGACCGAGGCUUGAUUGCCAGCACCCACUCUGCAGAUGAUCCAUGUUUCCAAUACCAGGGGAUCCAACACCUUCUUCUGGCCCCCACAGGCACUGAACUCACAUGGCACACAGACAUACAUUCAGGCAAGAAACUCAUAUACACAAAUAAA